Molecule: ribosomal RNA, 305 nt
Filed under: uncultured bacterium
Lineage: Bacteria
Description: bacterial SSU rRNA
Rfam family: Bacterial small subunit ribosomal RNA
Source: RNAcentral
GCCUACGGGGCGCAGCAGUGAGGAAUAUUGGUCAAUGGGCGAGAGCCUGAACCAGCCAAGUCGCGUGAAGGAUGACGGCCCUACGGGUUGUAAACUUCUUUUGUCAGGGAGCAAUUGGGUCCACGCGUGGGCUUAGCGAGAGUACCUGAAGAAAAAGCAUCGGCUAACUCCGUGCCAGCAGCCGCGGUAAUACGGAGGAUGCGAGCGUUAUCGGGAUUUAUUGGGUUUAAAGGGUGCGCAGGCGGGCUGUUAAGCCGGCGGUAAAAAUUAAGGGCUCAACCCUGUCGAGCCGUCGAAAUUGGCAG